UUUUCUCCUUUUACGCAGUGA
RNAcentral lists this non-coding RNA (21 nucleotides) under Caenorhabditis elegans. The record is from RNAcentral. Lineage: Eukaryota; Metazoa; Nematoda; Chromadorea; Rhabditida; Rhabditidae.